GGGUUGUUAGUAUAACGGCAAUUACCGCACGCUCUUAACGUGUCAGAUCAGGGUUCGAAUCCCUGGCAACCCAC
Molecule: transfer RNA, 74 nt
Filed under: Rhodococcus phage NiceHouse
Lineage: Duplodnaviria; Heunggongvirae; Uroviricota; Caudoviricetes
Description: tRNA-Lys
Rfam family: tRNA
About the family: Transfer RNA (tRNA) molecules are approximately 80 nucleotides in length. Their secondary structure includes four short double-helical elements and three loops (D, anti-codon, and T loops).
Source: RNAcentral